Molecule: ribosomal RNA, 462 nt
Filed under: uncultured bacterium
Lineage: Bacteria
Description: partial 16S ribosomal RNA
Rfam family: Bacterial small subunit ribosomal RNA
Source: RNAcentral
ACGAACGCUGGCGGCGUGCUUAACACAUGCAAGUCGAACGGAAAGGCCUUUUCGGAGGUACUCGAGUGGCGAACGGGUGAGUAACACGUGGGUGAUCUGCCCUGCACUCUGGGAUAAGCCUGGGAAACUGGGUCUAAUACCGGAUAGGACCGCACUUUAGUGUGUGUGGUGGAAAGUUUUUUCGGUGUAGGAUGAGCCCGCGGCCUAUCAGCUUGUUGGUGGGGUAGUGGCCUACCAAGGCGGCGACGGGUAGCCGGACUGAGAGGUUGGUCGGCCACAUUGGGACUGAGAUACGGCCCAGACUCCUACGGGAGGCAGCAGUGGGGAAUAUUGCACAAUGGGCGCAAGCCUGAUGCAGCGACGCCGCGUGGGGGAUGACGGCCUUCGGGUUGUAAACUCCUUUCGCCAGGGACGAAGCGUUUUGUGACGGUACCUGGAGAAGAAGCACCGGCUAACUACGUG